Molecule: ribosomal RNA, 465 nt
Filed under: uncultured bacterium
Lineage: Bacteria
Description: partial 16S ribosomal RNA
Rfam family: Bacterial small subunit ribosomal RNA
Source: RNAcentral
CCUACGGGUGGCUGCAGUGGGGAAUAUUGCGCAAUGGGCGAAAGCCUGACGCAGCGACGCCGCGUGAGGGAUGAAGGUCUUCGGAUCGUAAACCUCUGUCAGCAGGGAAGAACGGUCACUGUGCUAAUCAGCAGUGAAUUGACGGUACCUGCAAAGGAAGCACCGGCUAACUCCGUGCCAGCAGCCGCGGUAAUAAGGAGGGUGCGAGCGUUAAUAGGAAUUACUGGGAGUAAAGCGCUCGUAGGCGGUAUGUCAAGUAAAGGGUGAAAUCACCGCGCUCAACGUGGGAACUGCCUUUGAAACUGUCAAACUGGAGUGUGUAGGAGGAUAGUGGAAUUCCAGGUGUAGGAGUGAAAUCCGUAGAGAUCUGGCGGAACAUCAAUUGCGAAGGCGACUAUCUGGCACAUAACUGACGCUGAGGAGCGAAAGCGUGGGUAGCAAACAGGAUUAGAUACCCGUGUAGUC